AUGUAUAGGUUUGAGUAUCCAGGAUAUAGCGAGUUUUUAAUUACAGAAAACGUUACCUUUAUAUACUUAGUUCUUUCCUUUGUAUUCUGUUUCUGCUGUCAAAAUAACGAAGGUCUUCUUUUCCCCAACAUCAUAAAAAUUCCAGGAAGAAAAAUCCAUUUUUGUAUCUGCUUUUUCUCCAUAGAAACUCAUUCCAGAAAUCUUUCUAACUCAGAUUUCCCCUUACCCUUUCCAUUAAGAUUCCUCUCCUCCCCCCCCCCCCUCCUCCUCCUCCUCCUCCUCCUCCUCCUCCUCCUCCUCCUCCUCCUCCUCCUUCUUCUUCUUCUUCUUCUUCUUCUUCUUCUUCUUCUUCUUCUUCUUCUUCCUCCUCCUCCUCCUCCUUCUCCUCCUCCUCCUCUUUUUAAGAUUUUAUUUAUUUAUUUGAGAGAGAGAUAGAACUCAGGCAUGCACAAGGAGGGGGAGAGGAAGGAAAGGCAGAGGGAGAAGCAGACUCUCCACUGAGCAGGGAGCCUGAUGCAGGGCUCCAUCCCAGGACCCUGAGAUCAUGACCUGAGCUGAAAGCAGAUGCUCAACCUACUGAGCCACCCAGGCGCCCCUCCAUUGCAGAUUUUUGAUCCAAUUAAGCAACAAUUCCUUGAUGAUGAAUCCACUGGAAACUUUUCAGUUCUCAUUUCAAUCACAGAUUUAUUUCUUUAUCCAACAAAUAUUUCCAGUAUAUGCACAUGUGUUAAGCACAGUUCUAGGCCUCGGGCAUACACUGGCUGCAGAUAGGGGUGGGAGGAUGUACAAGAUAAGAAAAAGUUGGGAGGCAAUGAGAUCUCAUGGGGCUUUGUUGGCUGUAGAGAGUAAGGAGUUUGGAAUUUAUUUUUAACGCAAUGGAGAAAUAGAGGGUUUAAAGCAGAGGAGAAGCGUGACUUGAUUUAUUCUCUAACCAUCCGUCUGGGCUGCUUGGUGAAUUAUGAGCAUACAAAGGGGUGAGAGGGAAGCAGCCAAGCCAGUGAGGAACCUCUAUGAAACCCUUGCUUCUUUGUGAAACUCCCUUGCCUCUCUCAUCCUUUUUGUUCACUCCUCCUUUCAGACUCUCCUGCUCUGCUUAUUUCUGAAGUGAGUGUUCAGAGUGAGUGCUCCACUGGGCUCUGGGUGUGUCUGCUCUCACUCCAUGCACUGUCCGCUGUCCGCAUCUUCCUCAUCUCUUUCACUUCACCUGGCCGCAUGCUGGUGCCUCCCAAAUCAGCUUCUCCAUGGGAAACUACAUGGUCAUCAGAAAGAAAGAGCCCCCACCAGGGUGAUCCUCCCCUGGGGUGAUCCUCCUUACCAGCUACAAGCAAGAGAAAACACAACCCAAGCAAAAUAAAAGAGAGACAUACUGGUGCAUGUAACCAACAACAUAAAGACUUAGAACUAGCUUCAGGAAUGACAAAAUUCAGAGGCUCAAAUGAUGUAUCACUAGGACUCUGUCCCUUUUUUCCAUUUGUUAUCUCCACUUUCUUCUAGAUGGCUCCAUUCUCAGGCUGACUGUCUUCAAUGGCGGAGAGUUAGCUAUACGCAUCCCUGGGAUCAGUGUCCCAGUUGAGUUAUCUGCUUUUAAGCAGAAGAGUCCUUCUCAUUCCCUGAAGUCCCAGGGUCAGUUCUCAUUGGCCCAGGCUGGGUCACAUGCCCACUCCUGAACAGAUCACUAUGAUUCAGAUUAGCUAACCUUGGGGCUAGGGGAUGGGGACAGCCUCAACCGAACAACAAGGACUAAGGGGGUCCUCCAAAGGGAUAUUGGGAUUGACCUACUAAAGAAGGGAAGCUAAAUGGUAAGCAGGUAAAACAACACAGGUCACCUACAUCCCGGUUGCACAAAUGAGGAAACCAAGACUCAGAGAGGGAAAGGCUUGCCUGAGUCCCUCACUGAAUCAGCAACAACCUCAAGACCAGUGCCCUACCCCCUCCCUGUCUUACCUUCACACUGCCUGGGUCAGGGUUUUCUCUAAAGAAACUGGAAGUGGCCAAACUCUGGCUAACACACUGGGUUCUCCCUUACACUCCAUGUAAGGACCUUGUUCUGGUCUUAUUGGCAGUAAAUCGCCAUCAGGAGAGUAUUGUCUUUUCUGAAAACUCUAGGGAGGCUUGCCUCUAAAUAACAUCAAGCCCCUAAUAAAGGACUCUCUAAUGCAGAGAGUUCAGACACCCUGAUGGGAAGAGUGCUAUUUGAGUGCCAAGAGGACUCCUGGUAGCUGACUACUCUGAUUCCAGUUAGGCCACCCUUGGUCACUGCCCAGCUGCUGGCAAAGAAGUGCUAACUCAGUCCAUUCCCUCCAGGAUCCUUCAAUUCUAUACACAAUUUAUUGAGUGCCAACUUCAUAUGGUCAAUGUGAUAGGUGCCAAGGAAUACAUGGAAGGGUAAACCUUACACGGGUCCCUGUUGUUCGUAGGAUCAAAUCCUUAGCCUGGCAUUCAAGAUCCUUUAUAAUUUAGGCACAAUCUAGGCUCCUCUCCUGCCAGCUCUCCCCCCUACUCCAUGUCCCCCUGCCCAACAUCAACAAGUGAAACCCAUUUUACGAACAUGCUGUCUUAACUUGCACCUCCAUGUUUUUGCCCCUCUCCUUGCCACUUGCCACCUGUGAGCCACUUACUCAUUCUUUAGAGCCUACUACAAAUGCCCAUUCAUUUAUUCAUUCAUUCAUUCAUCCAUCCGUUCUUUGAUUAAUUUAAUAAACUUAAAUGAACAUAAACAUAACCCCGAGCAGGUCAUGUGUUGAGUUUUAGGGUCACUGAGAAGGUCCAGACAGGAACAUGUUUCUGAAGAUGUUAGCAGUCUGGGGUUGGGGGGAGAAGAACAUGCCCACAUAAGUUGGAUUACAGAAUACCAUGUGCUCAAAAGCCCUGGAGUGGGGACAGAGCCAGCCUGUGGGGACAGGGAAGGCUUGUUGGACAAGUCCUGGAGUUACGUCUGAUGAAAGGGCAUGCCAGGACGCUCUCUCUGACCACCCUGGAUGAGGUAGUUGCCCUUCACACUCUCUUCCUUCCUAGCCUUUAUAAUUAAAUUUUUUGGUAUUUAUUUCCUUAUUCCUUGUUUAUUAUUCAUUUUCCACACUAAAACCUUAGCUUCAUGAGGACAGCUUCUUGUUCCCUAUUUUUCAAGUUCCUGGCACAUAACUGGCAUUCAGUAAAGAAUGUUUUAACAAGAGUCAUCUGGGUGGCUCAGUGGUUGAGCGUCUACCUUUGGCUCAGGUUGUGAUCCCAGAGUCCUGGGAUCCCAGGGGUCUCUGCAGGGAGCCUGCUUCUUCCUCUGCCUAUGUCUCUGCCUCCUCUGUGUGUGUCUCUCAUGAGUAAAUAAAUAAAAUCUUAAAAAAAAAUAAAAGAAUGUUUUAACGAAUGCCUACGUGCAUGAAUGCAUUCAGCCCAGAGUGAAUGAACACAAGCUGCCUGGCCGUGUCUUUCUGGCUGAUAGGGUGCAAGGGCAGCUUCCCUCCAUCACCACACAGGAGAUAGUCAGCAUAUUUAUCAGAAGAAAGAACAGACAAUGUGGGGAGCAGUCUUAGAGGUGCACAAGGAGAGACCCAAAGGCCAGAGCAAUCAGAGAAGUCUUCCUGGAGGCAGAAGACAGGCCCUGAAGGAUGAGGAGAGUCAGGACAAGCAGAGCUGGAAGCAGAUGAGCCCAAGCUGUUUGAGGACCUGCUUCCUCUUCCCUUUUUGAGUAGAGACUCUUCAUUCCCUGUCUCCCCUCCACAGAGCAGCAUGGUCCAGACGGACACUGUCCAGGGACAGUUGAG
RNAcentral lists this long non-coding RNA (3758 nucleotides) under Canis lupus familiaris (dog). RNAcentral describes it as "lncRNA (ENSCAFG00030019950.1)". The record is from RNAcentral. Lineage: Eukaryota; Metazoa; Chordata; Mammalia; Carnivora; Canidae.